UUGAUCAGCACUGAGCCACUCAGACGUAUCAAGAUGAUCUCCCAGGCUCAGUUCAUCUGGCUGUUAGUGCUCUGGAUCCAGGGCUCCAGUGGGCAGAUUGUGAUGACUCAGACUCCAGAAUCCCUGGCAGUGUUGCCAGGAGACAGAGUCACCAUCAACUGCAAAGCCAGUUCAAGCCUCACCAGUGGUAGCACUAACUACUUAAACUGGUACCAACAGAAAUCAGGACAAGCUCCGAAGCUACUUAUCUACUAUGCUUCCACACGUGCCACUGGGAUCCCAGACCGGUUCACAGGCAGUGGAUCUGGAACCGAUUUCACUCUCACAAUCAGCAAUGUUCAAGCUGAAGAUGCUGGAGAUUAUUAUUGUCAGCAAGGCUAUAGCUCACCUCUCACAGUGAUACAGACCAAUACAAAAACCUCCCUGUUCCGUUCCAUUCUGUCGACGGAGAAAUCGACCUUUAUUGGGUGUGACAGGCUUCAGAAGUCAAUGACCCAUAUGACUGCCUGUGGUGAAAGCCAAAAGGUAACAGAUGGAUGGGAUGAGGAAGAGUAA
This is a non-coding RNA of Chelonoidis abingdonii (Abingdon island giant tortoise), 555 nucleotides long. NCBI's taxonomy places the organism in Eukaryota, Metazoa, Chordata, Testudines, Testudinidae. The record is from the annotation of a RefSeq genome assembly.